RNAcentral lists this ribosomal RNA (429 nucleotides) under Actinomycetes bacterium. RNAcentral describes it as "Actinobacteria bacterium partial 16S ribosomal RNA". It matches the Rfam family "Bacterial small subunit ribosomal RNA", at positions 355 to 776 of the family's 1533-position model. Lineage: Bacteria; Bacillati; Actinomycetota; Actinomycetes. The record is from RNAcentral.
UGGGGAAUUUUGGACAAUGGGGGAAACCCUGAUCCAGCCAUCCCGCGUGUGCGAUGAAGGCCUUCGGGUUGUAAAGCACUUUUGGCAGGAAAGAAACGUCGCGGGUUAAUACCCCGCGGAACUGACGGUACCUGCAGAAUAAGCACCGGCUAACUACGUGCCAGCAGCCGCGGUAAUACGUAGGGUGCAAGCGUUAAUCGGAAUUACUGGGCGUAAAGCGUGCGCAGGCGGUUCGGAAAGAAAGAUGUGAAAUCCCGGAGCUUAACUUUGGAACUGCAUUUUUAACUACCGGGCUAGAGUGUGUCAGAGGGAGGUGGAAUUCCGCGUGUAGCAGUGAAAUGCGUAGAUAUGCGGAGGAACACCGAUGGCGAAGGCGGCCUCCUGGGAUAACACUGACGCUCAUGCACGAAAGCGUGGGGAGCAAACAGG